AUACGGAGGGUGCAAGCGUUGUUCGGAAUUACUGGGCGUAAAGCGCACGUAGGCGGCUUUGUAAGUCAGAGGUGAAAGCCUGGAGCUCAACUCCAGAACUGCCUUUGAGACUGCAUCGCUUGAAUCCAGGAGAGGUCAGUGGAAUUCCGAGUGUAGAGGUGAAAUUCGUAGAUAUUCGGAAGAACACCAGUGGCGAAGGCGGCUGACUGGACUGGUAUUGACGCUGAGGUGCGAAAGCGUGGGGAGCAAACAGGAUUAGAUACCCCGGUAGUCC
RNAcentral lists this ribosomal RNA (274 nucleotides) under uncultured bacterium. RNAcentral's name for it is "partial 16S ribosomal RNA". It matches the Rfam family "Bacterial small subunit ribosomal RNA", at positions 523 to 796 of the family's 1533-position model. The record is from RNAcentral.